This 854-nucleotide ribosomal RNA is filed under the name uncultured bacterium. RNAcentral describes it as "bacterial SSU rRNA". It matches the Rfam family "Bacterial small subunit ribosomal RNA", at positions 9 to 862 of the family's 1533-position model. The record is from RNAcentral.
GAGUUUGAUCCUGGCUCAGGAUGAACGCUAGCGGCAGGCCUAACACAUGCAAGUCGAGGGGUAACAGGAAAGCUUGCUUUUGCUGACGACCGGCGCACGGGUGCGUAACGCGUAUGCAACCUACCUCAUACUGGAGCAUAGCCCUUGGAAACGGGGAUUAAUACUCCAUGGUAUCAUGAAUUCGCAUGUUUUCAUGAUUAAAGAAUUUCGGUAUGAGAUGGGCAUGCGUCCCAUUAGCUAGUUGGUGAGGUAACGGCUCACCAAGGCGACGAUGGGUAGGGGGCCUGAGAGGGUGGUCCCCCACACUGGUACUGAGACACGGACCAGACUCCUACGGGAGGCAGCAGUGAGGAAUAUUGGUCAAUGGAGGCAACUCUGAACCAGCCAUGCCGCGUGAAGGAUGACGGCCCUAUGGGUUGUAAACUUCUUUUAUAUGGGAAGAAACUUAUCUACGUGUAGAUAACUGACGGUACCAUACGAAUAAGGAUCGGCUAACUCCGUGCCAGCAGCCGCGGUAAUACGGAGGAUCCAAGCGUUAUCCGGAUUCAUUGGGUUUAAAGGGUCCGUAGGCGGAUUUUUAAGUCAGUGGUGAAAGCCGACAGCUCAACUGUCGAACUGCCAUUGAUACUGGAAAUCUUGAGUACAAAUGAAGUAGGCGGAAUGAGUCAUGUAGCGGUGAAAUGCAUAGAUAUGACUCAGAACACCAAUUGCGAAGGCAGCUUACUAACAUGUAACUGACGCUGAGGGACGAAAGCGUGGGGAGCGAACAGGAUUAGAUACCCUGGUAGUCCAUGCCGUAAACGAUCAUCACUCGCUGUUGGCGAUAUACAGUCAGCGGCCAAGCGAAAGUAUUA